This 206-nucleotide ribosomal RNA is filed under the name Clostridioides difficile. RNAcentral describes it as "partial 23S ribosomal RNA". It matches the Rfam family "Bacterial large subunit ribosomal RNA", at positions 887 to 1094 of the family's 2925-position model. The record is from RNAcentral. Lineage: Bacteria; Bacillati; Bacillota; Clostridia; Peptostreptococcales; Peptostreptococcaceae.
UGAGAGAUACGGAGGUAGAGCACUGAAUGUCCUAGGGGGUAUUGCACCUACCGAAGACUAUCAAACUCCGAAUGCCGUCAUCUUAUACUUGGGAGUCAGACUGUGGGGGAUAAGAUUCAUAGUCGAAAGGGCAACAGCCCAGAUCGUCAGCUAAGGUCCCUAAAUGUAAGUUAAGUGGUAAAGGAUGUGGGAUUGCACAGACAACC